RNAcentral lists this ribosomal RNA (400 nucleotides) under uncultured bacterium. RNAcentral's name for it is "bacterial SSU rRNA". It matches the Rfam family "Bacterial small subunit ribosomal RNA", at positions 355 to 752 of the family's 1533-position model. The record is from RNAcentral.
UGGGGAAUAUUGGGCAAUGGGCGCAAGCCUGACCCAGCAAUGCCGCGUGAGUGAUGAAGGCCUUCGGGUUGUAAAGCUCUGUCGGGAGGGACGAAAAAGGCGCGUAACGAGCGCUGUUGACGGUACCUCCAAAGGAAGCACCGGCUAACUCUGUGCCAGCAGCCGCGGUAAUACAGAGGGUGCAAGCGUUGUUCGGAAUUACUGGGCGUAAAGCGCGUGUAGGCGGUCAUGUAAGUCGGUUGUGAAAUCCCUCAGCUUAACUGAGGAAGUGCAACCGAUACUGUGUGACUAGAGUACUGGAGGGGAUGGCGGAAUUCCUGGUGUAGAGGUGAAAUUCGUAGAUAUCAGGAGGAACACCUGUGGCGAAGGCGGCCAUCUGGACAGUAACUGACGCUGAGAC